RNAcentral lists this long non-coding RNA (268 nucleotides) under Hordeum vulgare. RNAcentral describes it as "long non-coding RNA (HVUL_LNC019793)". The record is from RNAcentral. Lineage: Eukaryota; Viridiplantae; Streptophyta; Magnoliopsida; Poales; Poaceae.
GCUCCCAGGAUUACAUGUUACCGACCUUAGUCGGGGAUAGACAGGCCAAACUGGUCCUCCGGACUUGGAGCGCACACCUAGUCCUCGAAGCUUUCCAUCUUGAUUACGAAGUUGUCAGAUAAUCCGGUCUUCAAUGAUGCAGCCCAUAUGGCCGACCCCUUAAUCCGGAACUCCCUCACACAUGGCUCCGUUUGGCGUGAUUCCAACACAAAAAUCCUAUAUAUAUAGAAACCCUCAGAACUAAACAAAGAACUUCCACUCCGCCGCC